GCCCUGGUUCGCCUUUGAUUAUUCCAUUGAUUCAUUUUCCACAAACCUCCAGCAGUAAGGCCAAGUGCUAUUCCAUAAAUGAUCUCUUUCACCACACUUGGACCCUUGUAAGCAACAUGUGCAAUCUUAUGAGCAGCACCCAUGUUUCGCAGUGACUGUCGAUGGAGAUAGAACUAAGAACUGCAGAGAGAGUGGUGAGAGAACAGAGAGAAGGCA
This 216-nucleotide unclassified non-coding RNA is filed under the name Hevea brasiliensis (rubber tree). The record is from RNAcentral. Lineage: Eukaryota; Viridiplantae; Streptophyta; Magnoliopsida; Malpighiales; Euphorbiaceae.